AUUGAACGCUGGCGGCAGGCCUAACACAUGCAAGUCGAGCGGAGCGGCAGACGGGUGAGUAAUGCCUAGGUAUCUGCCUGGUAGUGGGGGAGAAAGUCCGGAAACGGACGCUAAUGCCGAAUACUAUCAGCUGCGCCUAGGUCGAAUUAGCUAGUUGGUGGGGUAAAGGCCGACAAAGGCGACGAUCCGUACCUGGUCUGAGAGGAUGAUCAGUCACACUGGAACUGAGACACGGUCCAGACUCCUACGGGAGGCAGCAGUGGGGAAUAUUGGACAAUGGGCGAAAGCCUGAUGCAGCCAUGCCGCGUGUGUGAAGAAGGUCUUCGGAUUGUAAAGCACUUUAAGUUGGGAGGCGUUACCAACAGAAGAAGCACCGGCUAACUCCGUGCCAGCAGCCGCGGUAAUAC
RNAcentral lists this ribosomal RNA (407 nucleotides) under uncultured bacterium. Its description in RNAcentral is "partial 16S ribosomal RNA". It matches the Rfam family "Bacterial small subunit ribosomal RNA", at positions 30 to 526 of the family's 1533-position model. The record is from RNAcentral.